RNAcentral lists this transfer RNA (76 nucleotides) under Alkalimarinus sediminis. RNAcentral describes it as "tRNA-His". It matches the Rfam family "tRNA". From Rfam's summary of the family: Transfer RNA (tRNA) molecules are approximately 80 nucleotides in length. Their secondary structure includes four short double-helical elements and three loops (D, anti-codon, and T loops). Further hydrogen bonds mediate the characteristic L-shaped molecular structure. tRNAs have two regions of fundamental functional importance: the anti-codon, which is responsible for specific mRNA codon recognition, and the 3' end, to which the tRNAs corresponding amino acid is attached (by aminoacyl-tRNA synthetases). tRNAs cope with the degeneracy of the genetic code in two manners: having more than one tRNA (with a specific anti-codon) for a particular amino acid; and 'wobble' base-pairing, i.e. permitting non-standard base-pairing at the 3rd anti-codon position. The record is from RNAcentral. RNAcentral also lists the same sequence under 1 other name. Lineage: Bacteria; Pseudomonadati; Pseudomonadota; Gammaproteobacteria; Alteromonadales; Alteromonadaceae.
GUGGGCGUAGCUCAGUUGGUAGAGCUCAGGAUUGUGAUUCCUGCGGUCGCGGGUUCAAUCCCCGUCGCCCACCCCA